GAUGAACGCUAGCGGCAGGCCUAAUACAUGCAAGACUAGGGGGCAGCAAUGUCACCGUCGCACGGGUGCGUAACGCGUAUGCAACCUACCUAUCACAGGGGGAUAGCCUUUGGAAACAGGGGAUUAAUACCCGCAUAAAGCAGGGGCUCCGCAUGGAGAUAUUGCUAAAGAUUUANCGGUGAUAGAUGGGCAUGCGUCUGAUUAGUUAGAUGGUGGGGUAACGGCCUACCAUGGCGAUGAUCAGUAGGGGGCGUCAGAGCGUGGUCCCCCACACUGGCACUGAGAUACGGGCCAGACUCCUACGGGAGGCAGCAGUAGGGAAUAUUGGACAAUGGGCAAAGCCUGAUCCAGCAAUGCCGCGUGAGUGACGAAGGCCUUAGGGUUGUAAAGCUCUUUUACCCGAGAUGAAGGUACCAAAUGAAUAAGCACCGGCUAACUCCGUG
Molecule: ribosomal RNA, 443 nt
Filed under: uncultured bacterium
Lineage: Bacteria
Description: bacterial SSU rRNA
Rfam family: Bacterial small subunit ribosomal RNA
Source: RNAcentral